GAUGAACGCUGGCGGCGUGCCUAAUACAUGCAAGUCGAGCGAACAGACGAGGAGCUUGCUCCUCUGACGUUAGCGGCGGACGGGUGAGUAACACGUGGAUAACCUACCUAUAAGACUGGGAUAACUUCGGGAAACCGGAGCUAAUACCGGAUAAUAUAUUGAACCGCAUGGUUCAAUAGUGUAAGACGGUUUUACUGUCACUUAUAGAUGGAUCCGCGCCGCAUUAGCUAGUUGGUAAGGUAACGGCUUACCAAGGCAACGAUGCGUAGCCGACCUGAGAGGGUGAUCGGCCACACUGGAACUGAGACACGGUCCAGACUCCUACGGGAGGCAGCAGUAGGGAAUCUUCCGCAAUGGGCGAAAGCCUGACGGAGCAACGCCGCGUGAGUGAUGAAGGUCUUCGGAUCGUAAAACUCUGUUAUUAGGGAAGAACAAAUGUGUAAGUAACUAUGCACGUCUUGACGGUACCUAAUCAGAAAGCCACGGCUAACUACGUG
Molecule: ribosomal RNA, 497 nt
Filed under: uncultured bacterium
Lineage: Bacteria
Description: partial 16S ribosomal RNA
Rfam family: Bacterial small subunit ribosomal RNA
Source: RNAcentral